AAACCGGGAGAUAGCUGGUUCUCCCCGAAAGCUAUUUAGGUAGCGCCUCGUGAAUUCAUCUCCGGGGGUAGAGCACUGUUUCGGCAAGGGGGUCAUCCCGACUUACCAACCCGAUGCAAACUGCGAAUACCGGAGAAUGUUAUCACGGGAGACACACGGCGGGUGCUAACGUCCGUCGUGAAGAGGGAAACAACCCAGACCGCCAGCUAAGGUCCCAAAGUCAUGGUUAAGUGGGAAACGAUGUGGGAAGGCCCAGACAGCCAGGAUGUUGGCUUAGAAGCAGCCAUCAUUUAAAGAAAGCGUAAUAGCUCACUGGUCGAGUCGGCCUGCGCGGAAGAUGUAACGGGGCUAAACCAUGCACCGAAGCUGCGGCAGCGACGCUUAUGCGUUGUUGGGUAGGGGAGCGUUCUGUAAGCCUGCGAAGGUGUGCUGUGAGGCAUGCUGGAGGUAUCAGAAGUGCGAAUGCUGACAUAAGUAACGAUAAAGCGGGUGAAAAGCCCGCUCGCCGGAAGACCAAGGGUUCCUGUCCAACGUUAAUCGGGGCAGGGUGAGUCGACCCCUAAGGCGAGGCCGAAAGGCGUAGUCGAUGGGAAACAGGUUAAUAUUCCUGUACUUGGUGUUACUGCGAAGGGGGGACGGAGAAGGCUAUGUUGGCCGGGCGACGGUUGUCCCGGUUUAAGCGUGUAGGCUGGUUUUCCAGGCAAAUCCGGAAAAUCAAGGCUGAGGCGUGAUGACGAGGCACUACGGUGCUGAAGCAACAAAUGCCCUGCUUCCAGGAAAAGCCUCUAAGCAUCAGGUAACAUCAAAUCGUACCCCAAACCGACACAGGUGGUCAGGUAGAGAAUACCAAGGCGCUUGAGAGAACUCGGGUGAAGGAACUAGGCAAAAUGGUGCCGUAACUUCGGGAGAAGGCACGCUGAUAUGUAGGUGAAGU
This 934-nucleotide ribosomal RNA is filed under the name Escherichia coli. RNAcentral describes it as "partial 23S ribosomal RNA". It matches the Rfam family "Bacterial large subunit ribosomal RNA", at positions 835 to 1767 of the family's 2925-position model. Lineage: Bacteria; Pseudomonadati; Pseudomonadota; Gammaproteobacteria; Enterobacterales; Enterobacteriaceae. The record is from RNAcentral.